RNAcentral lists this ribosomal RNA (506 nucleotides) under uncultured bacterium. RNAcentral describes it as "partial 16S ribosomal RNA". It matches the Rfam family "Bacterial small subunit ribosomal RNA", at positions 29 to 523 of the family's 1533-position model. The record is from RNAcentral.
AGUGAACGCUGGCGGUAGGCCUAACACAUGCAAGUCGAACGGCAGCACAGGAAAGCUUGCUCUCUGGGUGGCGAGUGGCGGACGGGUGAGGAAUACAUCGGAAUCUACUCUGUCGUGGGGGAUAACGUAGGGAAACUUACGCUAAUACCGCAUACGACCUACGGGUGAAAGCAGGGGAUCUUCGGACCUUGCGCGAUUGAAUGAGCCGAUGUCGGAUUAGCUAGUUGGCGGGGUAAAGGCCCACCAAGGCGACGAUCCGUAGCUGGUCUGAGGGGAUGAGCAGCCACACUGGAACUGAGACACGGUCCAGACUCCUACGGGAGGCAGCAGUGGGGAAUAUUGGACAAUGGGCGCAAGCCUGAUCCAGCCAUACCGCGUGGGUGAAGAAGGCCUUCGGGUUGUAAAGCCCUUUUGUUGGGAAAGAAAUCCAGCUGGCUAAUACCCGGUUGGGAUGACGGUACCCAAAGAAUAAGCACCGGCUAACUUCGUGCCAGCAGCCGCAGUAA